RNAcentral lists this ribosomal RNA (468 nucleotides) under uncultured bacterium. RNAcentral's name for it is "partial 16S ribosomal RNA". It matches the Rfam family "Bacterial small subunit ribosomal RNA", at positions 28 to 507 of the family's 1533-position model. The record is from RNAcentral.
GAUGAACGCUGGCGGCGUGCUUAACACAUGCAAGUCGAACGGAAAGGCCCAAGCUUGCUUGGGUACUCGAGUGGCGAACGGGUGAGUAACACGUGGGUGAUCUGCCCUGCACUUCGGGAUAAGCCUGGGAAACUGGGUCUAAUACCGGAUAGGACGAUGGUUUGGAUGCCAUUGUGGAAAGUUUUUUCGGUGUGGGAUGAGCUCGCGGCCUAUCAGCUUGUUGGUGGGGUAAUGGCCUACCAAGGCGUCGACGGGUAGCCGGCCUGAGAGGGUGUAGGGCCACAUUGGGACUGAGAUACGGCCCAGACUCCUACGGGAGGCAGCAGUGGGGAAUAUUGCACAAUGGGCGCAAGCCUGAUGCAGCGACGCCGCGUGGGGGAUGACGGCCUUCGGGUUGUAAACUCCUUUCGCUAGGGACGAAGCGUUUUUGUGACGGUACCUGGAGAAGAAGCACCGGCUAACUACGUG